Molecule: ribosomal RNA, 1049 nt
Filed under: human gut metagenome
Description: bacterial LSU rRNA
Rfam family: Bacterial large subunit ribosomal RNA
Source: RNAcentral
UUGUCGCAUCUUAUUCCACGUACACCCAUGGAUGUACGUCCUGUAUCACGGACACAUUCCUCAUUGAAUCUGAUACAGCGAAAUUCCUUGUCGGGUAAGUUCCGACCUGCACGAAUGGCGUAACGACUUCCCCACUGUCUCGACCAGGAGCUCGGCGAAAUUGCAGUACGAGUAAAGAUGCUCGUUAAGCGCAGAAGGACGAAAAGACCCCGGGACCUUUACUAUACCUUGGUAUUGGCGUUAGGCGCGGAUUGUGUAGCAUAGGCGGGAGGCUUCGAAGCAUGGGCGCCAGCCCGUGUGGAGCCGCAAGGUGAAAUACCGCUCUGUUCUCGUUUGACGUCUCACCUCGAACAGUCAUCCUGUUCAGGGACAGUGCCUGGCGGGUAGUUUAACUGGGGCGGUUGCCUCCCAAAGAGUAACGGAGGCGCUCAAAGGUCCGCUCAGCCCGGUUGGCAAUCGGGUUUCGAGUGUAAUCGCACAAGCGGGCUUGACUGCGAGAACGACGGUUCGGGCAGGGACGAAAGUCGGAGAUAGUGAUCCGGUGCCGGCGCACGGGCGCGGCAUCGCUCAACGGAUAAAAGGUACCCCGGGGAUAACAGGCUGAUCAUUCCCAAGAGUCCAUAUCGACGGGAUGGUUUGGCACCUCGAUGUCGGCUCGUCGCAUCCUGGGGCUGGAGCAGGUCCCAAGGGUUCGGCUGUUCGCCGAUUAAAGCGGCACGCGAGCUGGGUUCAGAACGUCGUGAGACAGUUUGGUCUCUAUCCUCUGCGCUCGUUGGAAUCCUGAGGAGGCCUGCCCAUAGUACGAGAGGACCUGGGUGGACGGACCUCUGGUAUGCCGGUUGUCGCGCCAGCGGCAUGGCCGGUUGGCUACGUUCGGGAGGGAUAACCGCUGAAAGCAUCUAAGCGGGAAGCCUGCUCCAAGAUUAGGAUUCCUUGACGCUCCCCGGAGCGUUUGUAGCCCGCAUGUUGAACACGUGUUCGAUAGGCCGGAGGUGGAAGCCCCGCGAGGGGUGGAGCCGACCGGUACUAACGGGCGAACGCGGCACACU